AAAACAGAGGUAUUAGUACAUUUGGUUUCGACCCAAAAGAAGGUUAACCCCCUGUUUUA
RNAcentral lists this transfer RNA (59 nucleotides) under Echinogammarus berilloni. Its description in RNAcentral is "tRNA-Arg". The record is from RNAcentral. Lineage: Eukaryota; Metazoa; Arthropoda; Malacostraca; Amphipoda; Gammaridae.